Molecule: ribosomal RNA, 658 nt
Filed under: uncultured bacterium
Lineage: Bacteria
Description: bacterial SSU rRNA
Rfam family: Bacterial small subunit ribosomal RNA
Source: RNAcentral
UACCUUCGGGUAAUGAGGAUGGCGGACGGGUGAGUAACGCGUAAGGAACUUGCCUCUUGGACUGGGACAACUGUUGGAAACGACAGCUAAUACCGGAUAUUGUGAGAUUCUCGCAUGAGAAACUUAUGAAAGCUAUAUGCGCCAAGAGAGAGCCUUGCGUUCCAUUAGCUAGUUGGUGGGGUAACGGCCCACCAAGGCGACGAUGGAUAGCCGGCCUGAGAGGGUGAACGGCCACAAGGGGACUGAGACACGGCCCUUACUCCUACGGGAGGCAGCAGUGGGGAAUAUUGGACAAUGGGCCACAAGCCUGAUCCAGCAAUUCUGUGUGCACGAUGAAGGUCUUCGGAUUGUAAAGUGCUUUCAGUUGGGAAGAAGAAAGUGACGGUACCAACAGAAGAAGCGACGGCUAAAUACGUGCCAGCAGCCGCGGUAAUACGUAUGUCGCAAGCGUUAUCCGGAUUUAUUGGGCGUAAAGCGCGUCUAGGCGGAAAAAUAAGUCUGAUGUUAAAAUGCGGGGCUCAACUCCGUAUUGCGUUGGAAACUGUUUUUCUAGAGUACUGGAGAGGUGGGCGGAACUACAAGUGUAGAGGUGAAAUUCGUAGAUAUUUGUAGGAAUGCCGAUGGAGAAGUCAGCUCACUGGACAGAUACUGACGCUGA